Molecule: ribosomal RNA, 497 nt
Filed under: uncultured bacterium
Lineage: Bacteria
Description: partial 16S ribosomal RNA
Rfam family: Bacterial small subunit ribosomal RNA
Source: RNAcentral
GACGAACGCUGGCGGCGUGCCUAAUACAUGCAAGUUGAGCGAUGAAGAUUGGUGCUUGCACCAAUUUGAAGAGCAGCGAACGGGUGAGUAACGCGUGGGGAAUCUACCUUUGAGCGGGGGACAACAUUUGGAAACGAAUGCUAAUACCGCAUAAUAACUUUAAACAUAAGUUUUAAGUUUGAAAGAUGCAAUUGCAUCACUCAAAGAUGAUCCCGCGUUGUAUUAGCUAGUUGGUGAGGUAAAGGCUCACCAAGGCGAUGAUACAUAGCCGACCUGAGAGGGUGAUCGGCCACAUUGGGACUGAGACACGGCCCAAACUCCUACGGGAGGCAGCAGUAGGGAAUCUUCGGCAAUGGACGAAAGUCUGACCGAGCAACGCCGCGUGAGUGAAGAAGGUUUUCGGAUCGUAAAACUCUGUUGGUAGAGAAGAACGUUGGUGAGAGUGGAAAGCUCAUCAAGUGACGGUAACUACCCAGAAAGGGACGGCUAACUACGUG